UACGGGGGGAGCAAACGUUGUUCGGAAUCACUGGGCGUAAAGGGCGCGUAGGCGGCUGAAUAAGUGGGAUGUUAAAUCCCCGGGCUCAACCCGGGACCUGCAUCUCAUACUGUUCAGCUCGAGCACAUCAGAGGAGACUGGAAUUCUCGGUGUAGCGGUGAAAUGCGUAGAUAUCGAGAGGAACACCUGCGGCGAAGGCGGGUUGCUGGGCUGACACUGACGCUGAAACGCGAAAGCUAGGGGAGCGAACGGG
Molecule: ribosomal RNA, 253 nt
Filed under: uncultured prokaryote
Description: partial 16S ribosomal RNA
Rfam family: Bacterial small subunit ribosomal RNA
Source: RNAcentral